CUUGAACGCUGGCGGCAGGCCUAACACAUGCAAGUCGAGCGGAUGAAGGGAGCUUGCUCCUGGAUUCAGCGGCGGACGGGUGAGUAAUGCCUAGGAAUCUGCCUGGUAGUGGGGGAUAACGUCCGGAAACGGGCGCUAAUACCGCAUACGUCCUGAGGGAGAAAGUGGGGGAUCUUCGGACCUCACGCUAUCAGAUGAGCCUAGGUCGGAUUAGCUAGUUGGUGGGGUAAAGGCCUACCAAGGCGACGAUCCGUAACUGGUCUGAGAGGAUGAUCAGUCACACUGAAACUGAGACACGGUCCAGACUCCUACGGGAGGCAGCAGUGGGGAAUAUUGGACAAUGGGCGAAAGCCUGAUCCAGCCAUGCCGCGUGUGUGAAGAAGGUCUUCGGAUUGUAAAGCACUUUAAGUUGGGAGGAAGGGCAGUAAGUUAAUACCUUGCUGUUUUGACGUUACCAACAGAAUAAGCACCGGCUAACUUCGUG
This 484-nucleotide ribosomal RNA is filed under the name uncultured bacterium. Its description in RNAcentral is "partial 16S ribosomal RNA". It matches the Rfam family "Bacterial small subunit ribosomal RNA", at positions 30 to 507 of the family's 1533-position model. The record is from RNAcentral.